GCACAAUGGGCGGCAAGCCUGAUGCAGCGACGCCGCGUGCGGGAUGGAGGCCUUCGGGUUGUAAACCGCUUUUGUUCAAGGGCAAGGCACGGUCUUUGGCCGUGUUGAGUGGAUUGUUCGAAUAAGCACCGGCUAACUACGUGCC
Molecule: ribosomal RNA, 145 nt
Filed under: uncultured bacterium
Lineage: Bacteria
Description: partial 16S ribosomal RNA
Rfam family: Bacterial small subunit ribosomal RNA
Source: RNAcentral